Molecule: ribosomal RNA, 466 nt
Filed under: uncultured bacterium
Lineage: Bacteria
Description: partial 16S ribosomal RNA
Rfam family: Bacterial small subunit ribosomal RNA
Source: RNAcentral
CUACGGGGUGCAGCAGUGGGGAAUAUUGGACAAUGGGGGAAACCCUGAUCCAGCAAUGCCGCGUGUGUGAAGAAGGCCUGCGGGUUGUAAAGCACUUUCGGUUGGGAGGACUGCUUCUAGCACUAAUAUUGUUGGAAGUUGACGUUACCUUCAGAAGAAGCACCGGCUAACUCCGUGCCAGCAGGCCGCGGUAAUACGGAGGGUGCAAGCGUUAAUCGGAAUUACUGGGCGUAAAGCGCGCGUAGGCGGCUAGAUCAGUCGGGUGUGAAAGCCCCGGGCUCAACCUGGGAACUGCAUCCGAUACUGUCUAGCUUGAGUACAGGAGAGGAGAGUGGAAUUCCACAUGUAGCGGUGAAAUGCGUAGAUAUGUGGAGGAACACCAAUGGCGAAGGCAGCUCUCUGGCCUGAUACUGACGCUGAGGUGCGAAAGCGUGGGGAGCAAACAGGAUUAGAUACCCGUGUAGUC